Podarcis lilfordi (Lilford's wall lizard) is the source of this 135-nucleotide non-coding RNA. The record is from the annotation of a GenBank genome assembly. Lineage: Eukaryota; Metazoa; Chordata; Lepidosauria; Squamata; Lacertidae.
GCUGUAGCUCAGUGGUAGAGCACUGUGUUUUGCAUGCAAAAAGGUCCCAGGUUUAGGUAAAGGUCUAAACCACUGAGCCUCUUGGGCUUGCCGAUCAGAAGGUCGGUGGUUCGAAUCCUCACGACGGGGUGAGCU